GUUCUCAUAAAAAGUUGCAAAAAAAUGAGCAGAAACAGUGUCUCAAGAAAUGCAGAUUGCAGAGCUUUCGUGAAAAUUAUAAUUAAGAAAGACACAAGAUCUGUAAGAUGAAAGGAUAAAUUUGUCAAAAAUGGCCUACAAGGAAAAAAGGAAAAUUUGAAAUCUUUUAAGCUGCAAGAUAUCAUUCGCAACUAAUUGAGAAGAAGAAUGUGUGGAAGAAACACCAGCAAGUGGCAGAAAAAAAUCCUACGGAAAGGUGUAUUCGAUAUUGGCAUGAUAUGUGGCAAAAUUUACAGUUUGGUGCA
This is a long non-coding RNA of Stegodyphus dumicola, 305 nucleotides long. The record is from RefSeq and is a predicted model, not a curated record. NCBI's taxonomy places the organism in Eukaryota, Metazoa, Arthropoda, Arachnida, Araneae, Eresidae.